This 380-nucleotide transfer RNA is filed under the name Leuconostoc inhae. The stretch from base 115 to 187 matches the Rfam family "tRNA". The record is from RNAcentral. Lineage: Bacteria; Bacillati; Bacillota; Bacilli; Lactobacillales; Lactobacillaceae.
AAGGAUAAACGGAAAGUAGCAGGGGCAUUAGAUUGCCAGUUCAAGCAGUUCAAAGUUUUGUUUAGUUUUGAGUGUGAUACCGACAUAGGGAUCAUGGUCAAAGAUGACACCUAUGGGGAAUUAGCUCAGCUGGGAGAGCACCUGCUUUGCAAGCAGGGGGUCAGCGGUUCGAACCCGCUAUUCUCCAUAGGCAGUGGUAGCACUGCCAGGGUUGCACAUUGAAAACUGAAUAGUAACAAAUUCUUUUAAAGAUAAGUAAAAUUAUUAAUAAAUUAAGCCGAGAAACAAAGCAAUAAAGAAGUUCUGUAAGAGGAACGGAAAAAAACGCAGGUCUGAAAGAAGACCAACUCAUAAACUUAAAGCACAACUACGGUUGUGAC